GAUGAACGCUGGCGGCGUGCCUAAUACAUGCAAGUCGAGCGAGCGGACGAGAAGCUUGCUUCUCUGAUGUUAGCGGCGGACGGGUGAGUAACACGUGGAUAACCUACCUAUAAGACUGGGAUAACUUCGGGAAACCGGAGCUAAUACCGGAUAAUAUUUUGAACCGCAUGGUUCAAAAGUAAAAGACGGUCUUGCUGUCACUUAUAGCUGGAUCCGCGCUGCAUUAGCUAGUUGGUAAGGUAACGGCUUACCAAGGCAACGAUGCAUAGCCGACCUGAGAGGGUGAUCGGCCACACUGGAACUGAGACACGGUCAAGACUCCUAAGGGAGGCAGCAGUAGGGAAUCUUCCGCAAUGGGCGAAAGCCUGACGGAGCAACGCCGCGUGAGUGAUGAAGGUCUUCGGAUCGUAAAACUCUGUUAUUAGGGAAGAACAUAUGUGUAAGUAACUGUGCACAUCUUGACGGUACCUAAUCAGAAAGCCACGGCUAACUACGUG
RNAcentral lists this ribosomal RNA (497 nucleotides) under uncultured bacterium. RNAcentral's name for it is "partial 16S ribosomal RNA". It matches the Rfam family "Bacterial small subunit ribosomal RNA", at positions 28 to 507 of the family's 1533-position model. The record is from RNAcentral.